This is a long non-coding RNA of Oreochromis niloticus (Nile tilapia), 370 nucleotides long. RefSeq lists it as uncharacterized. Lineage: Eukaryota; Metazoa; Chordata; Actinopteri; Cichliformes; Cichlidae. The record is from RefSeq and is a predicted model, not a curated record. The transcript has 2 exons.
CACUGCUGUGUUUACUUUACCGCUUUUUUUAGAGGGACACAUUUAGACGCGGACGAGACCUGUUAUUUCAGUGGCGGUGGCCGACAUUGGGACUGCGGCUGUCUGAUGCAACAGCUACCCUGUGUGCGCGCGCGUGUGCUCACGUGUGUCCUCCCACUGGGGUUAAAGCAGGCCAAAUCUACAGCGUGGACUGUGGUGAGAGUGACACACAUUAAGCUCUAGGGUAACACGUUGUUGUGUUUGGAGGAGAAAGGGCUGGUCUGCCCCUUUACACACACGGGAAGUGUAACCAACUUCAGUCCUUCAUGGGCCGUGUAUAAUGGAUUUUACCUAAUGGGGGCAGCCUGGUCGGACAUCUUCAGCAAAGGAA